RNAcentral lists this ribosomal RNA (1522 nucleotides) under uncultured Cantharellales. RNAcentral describes it as "eukaryotic LSU rRNA". The stretch from base 558 to 1522 matches the Rfam family "Eukaryotic large subunit ribosomal RNA", at positions 1 to 982 of the family's 3401-position model. The record is from RNAcentral. Lineage: Eukaryota; Fungi; Basidiomycota; Agaricomycetes; Cantharellales.
UCCGUAGGUGAACCUGCGGAAGGAUCAUAGUAAUCGUCUUUGACGUUGCUUCUCCGCCGGUCGAGGACAACCGACCCCUCGCGUCCCGAGGCUAAACGACGUCCCGGUGUUACCUCCCUGGAGGCACACGUUAAAGAUCGUUCCGCAUUGUGAGUCUUGACACCAGCUGUACAAUUUUUUACAACCGGUGGCGUUGGAUCCCUUGGCACGUCAUUCGAUGAAGACCGUUGCAAAUUGCGAUAAAGUGAUGUGAUGCGCAAGUCCACCACUUAUACGUGAAUCAUCGAGUUGUUGAACGCACUGCACCGCGCCCUAACCCGGCUGCGGUAUGCCCCUUUGAGCGUCAUUGCUACCCUUCGGGAGUCUUUCCUUGGGAAGACCCGAGUUCGGAGUCCUCGGUCCUCGGAUCGUGUUCUCUCAGAUCCAUCGCGCCGAUCGUCCGGUAGGUCCUCUAAUGCCUGAGCGUGGAGAGCCUCUGGAGUUUUGAGCGGCGUUUGACCGCGUGGCGAGCGCUGGUCACCAAGUCCGCACGGCCCAGCCGUCGGUGCUACAACUCAUGACCUCAUUGGGGUAGGACAACCCGCUAGACUUAAGCAUAUUAAUCAGCGGAGGAAAAGAAACUAACCAGGAUUCCCUCAGUAACUGCGAGUGAAGAGGGACGAGCUCAAUGUGUGAAUCGGCCGGAGGUAGUGCUUCGUGUCUGAGUUGUGCACUAUGGACGCUUUGUCGGCAGGGCUUGGGGCGGAAGUGCCAAUGAAACAUGGCAUCAGAGAGGGUCAUAGUCCCGUGCUCGCUCAAUCCAAGCCCGUGUGCAGCGAAAAGUGCUCCGCGAGUCGCAUAGUUUGGUAAUGCUAUGCCAAGUGGGAGGUAGAGCCCUUCUAAAGCUAAAUAUGAUGAUGUGACCGAUAGUUCACAAGUACCGCGAGGGAAAGGUGAAAAGUAACCAUGUAGAAUGGGUUGAAAGAGAAGUGAAAGUGCUACCGGGAUAAGGGCAUGUGACAGCUGGUGUCUGUAGGGCGUGCUUCAGUGCUGUCCUUCUAGAACGGUGUGCGGAUGUGUCCGAUGGGGAGACAAGGCCGUCUGGGAAUGUGGCUCAACCUUCGGGAUGAGUGUUAUAGCCCGGCGUGCAAAAGAACCCCAUGACACAUGUGAACUGUGCAUCUUGCUGUGGCAUGCCUCCCGUCUCGAAACACGGACCAAGGAGUGCAUCUUGCAUGCGAGUCGAAGGGGGUUGGAAUCCCUGGAGGCGUAGCGAAAGCGAAAGACUGUGAAUUGUUGGCAGGCCCUUGUGGCCAGAUGGGAUGAUAAAUCAGCAGCGACCCGCUUUGUGCGAGGGAGAGCAUGCAGGAUACGACCCGAAAGAUGGUGAGCUAUGCUUGGACAAGGUGAAGCCAGUGGAAACGCUGGUGGAGGCCUGAAGCGGUUCUGACGUGCAAAUCGAUCGUGUGAUCUAAGUAUAGGGGCGAAAGACCUAUCGAACCGUCUAAUGGCUGGUUCCCCCCGAAGUUUCCCUCAGGAUAGC